UACAGAGACUGCAAGCGUUAUUCGGAUUCACUGGGCGUAAAGGGUGCGCAGGCGGCCGUGUGUGUGAGGCGUGAAAGCCUGAUGCUUAACAUCGGAAUUGCACCUCAAACUACAUGGCUAGAGCAUUGGAGAGGGUAGCGGAAUUCACGGUGUAGCAGUGAAAUGCGUAGAUAUCGUGAGGAACACCAGAGGCGAAGGCGGCUACCUGGACAAUUGCUGACGCUCAGGCACGAAAGCGUGGGGAGCAAAAGGG
RNAcentral lists this ribosomal RNA (253 nucleotides) under uncultured bacterium. Its description in RNAcentral is "partial 16S ribosomal RNA". It matches the Rfam family "Bacterial small subunit ribosomal RNA", at positions 524 to 776 of the family's 1533-position model. The record is from RNAcentral.